This 104-nucleotide microRNA precursor is filed under the name Carica papaya (papaya). RNAcentral describes it as "miR8145 stem-loop (cpa-MIR8145)". The record is from miRBase by way of RNAcentral. Lineage: Eukaryota; Viridiplantae; Streptophyta; Magnoliopsida; Brassicales; Caricaceae.
GGUGCAUGUUUAUUUAUUUAUGUGAUUAUAUUCGAUUUCGUAAUGGAGACUAAGGAAAAAUAGGAAAGGAGUGUGAUCAAAUAAACAGAUAGAAUGACAGCCUU